CUAUUUCUCGGUCAUUUGUGAUUUACUACCCCGUAGGUAACGUAUACCGACAAUGUAAGGAUUUCCUGAGCGCGUGUAGGUAUGUGAAAACGAGUUCGCACGUAAUUCGGCUUUUAAUUGGUUUUUCACGCAAAUAAAUAUCUCGAGGAUUUUCGACUUGUUUCGAACGCACAACAUUCGUCGGUCCGCCGUCUGUUCGGUAUAGAUAUACGGUCGUUAAAGAAAUCCCGCGCAGCCCAUUGGUUCUUUUUCAAAUUUAUUAUCGCGUAUAUGUGGCCUUACAUACAAAAACGUACUGUUUCUGACCUUAAAAUGAGGCCGUUUCGGCAAUAAAUUGUACUCCGUGCCCGAAUCACCCCACCGUUUCAAAUUGAACGCCAGAAACGUAUUAAAAGUGUA
This is a non-coding RNA of Cinara cedri, 399 nucleotides long. NCBI's taxonomy places the organism in Eukaryota, Metazoa, Arthropoda, Insecta, Hemiptera, Aphididae. The record is from the annotation of a GenBank genome assembly.